This 868-nucleotide ribosomal RNA is filed under the name uncultured archaeon. RNAcentral describes it as "bacterial SSU rRNA". It matches the Rfam family "Archaeal small subunit ribosomal RNA", at positions 1 to 878 of the family's 1478-position model. The record is from RNAcentral.
CUCCGGUUGAUCCCGCCGGACCCGACUGCUAUCAGAGUGAGAUUAAGCCAUGCGAGUCAACGUAGCAAUACGUGGCACACGGCUCAGUAACACGUAGUCAACAUAACCAAAGGACGUGGAUAAACUCGGGAAACUGAGGCUAAACCGCGAUAGAUCAAGAUAUCUGGAAUGGUUUUUGAUCGAAAUCUAUAUGGCCUUUGGAUUGGACUGCGUCCGAUCAGGCUGUUGGUGAGGUAAUGGCCCACCAAACCUGUAACCGGUACGGGCUCUGAGAGGAGGAGCCCGGAGAUGGGUACUGAGAAAAGGACCCAGGCCCUAUGGGGCGCAGCAGGCGCGAAACCUCUGCAAUAGGCGAAAGCCUGACAGGGUUACUCUGAGUGACUUUCGCUAAGAAAGUCUUUUGACAUCUCUAAAAAUGGUGUAGAAUAAGGGGUGGGCAAGUCUGGUGUCAGCCGCCGCGGUAAUACCAGCACCCCGAGUGGUCGGGACGAUUAUUGGGCCUAAAGCAUCCGUAGCCGGUUUUACAAGUCCUCCGUUAAAUCCAGCUGCUUAACAGAUGGGCUGCGGAGGAUACUAUAAGACUAGGAGGCAGGGGAGGCAAGCGGUACUCAGUGGGUAGGGGUAAAAUCCGUUGAUCCAUUGAAGACCACCAGUGGCGAAGGCGGCUUGCCAGAAUGCGCUCGACGGUGAGGGAUGAAAGCUGGGGGAGCAAACCGGAUUAGAUACCCGGGUAGUCCCAGCUGUAAACGAUGCAGACUCGGUGAUGGACUAGCUUUAUGCUAGUCCAGUGCCGCAGGGAAGCCGUUAAGUCUGCCGCCUGGGUAGUACGGUCGCAAGACUGAAACUUAAAGGAAUUGGCGGGGGAGCA